GUUCAGCCAACAUAGAGGGCAGUAAAAUGUACUUAUUUUGGUUUUGAGCAUGAACACCAGGCUGCUUUUCAAGAGCUCUGCGUUUGAGGUAGUGUCGGUGAGACCGUGGUCUCUGCAAAUGCCAACUUCAGAGAGAGAGAGAGCAAACGAGAGAGAAAGAGUGUGUGAAAAACUGCAGCAAAGAUCAGAUAGCAGGCAAGGGUGAGAGAGAGAGAGAGAGAGAGAGAGAGAGAGAGAGAGAGAGAGAGAGAGAAAGAGAGCGAGCUGUGUUUUAAACGUUCAAAGAGAGAAUCAUUGGCGAGGUGUCGCACCGAAACAUUAGGGAAUCACUGGACGUGCAAGACCCUCAGGGAUGACCAAGGAAGAUUACCGGAACGUCAGAACAAUGCUAGGGAACAUUAAUGGAACAUUCUGAGGUUGUUAGCAUAUAAUCGGCAGCCUUUAGAUAAGAACCUCCUUCGAAUACAUGUGUGCGAGUUUCCAUCUGUGUAUGUGACACUAAAGAUGAGGACCUUGUUGGACAGUCAGGAUCCCUUUUUCGUUUUUGAAACAGUGAUUUUUCCUGUAGGGCAACAGUGAGGAACUCAAUGGAAUCAUGCUUUAGCUCAACUUCAGAUCUCUUUCUUACAUAUUUCCAUGCACACGAAGGGAAGAAAAAAGUAUCCAUGAAAAGCAAAAAGGAAACAGAAUGUUCUCUUCAGAUGAAGUUUCCAUCAACUACCACCACAGGGCACAGGUAUUUACGUCAGAUGGCCAUAAGCGAGAUUAUAUUAUGCAUAUCAGAAUAUAUAUUUACCCACAAAUCUUUCCAAAUGCAACAAAGAACUGUCUCAAUACAAAACCUUUUCACAAUUAAUAUUUUUGUUGGUCUUUACUCAUAGUUAUGCUAUCAAACCACUAAGUGGUCAUUGGAUCUGCUGACAUUUAGAUUGGAAUUAGCUGACAUCACAUCAGGACGUAGUGAAGAUACUGACCCCACUCUCUCCCCUCAACUGGAAAUCUACUUUGUAUUCUCACGGCUAUCAUUGAUAAACGUAUUAAGUGCUCAAUUGUCUCUUUCUCAUCUCUUUUCUCAAUUUUGAGUGAUUGUCCACCUGGAUGAUGACUAAAAUACCACCGCAUGAAGCCGACAGUCACUCCUCAAACAAACACACACACAAAAUUUCUACCAGACAGGUUUCCAUGGAAACCUCUAUAUCCCAGGUUUUCAUGUGAUUCUUUUAAUUUAGAGUAUUGUAGAACUGUGCUGCAUUUUUCUGCAAUCAUGUGUAUGCAUGAAGAAAAUUAUAUUUUCCUCAUUAUCACUGUUGAAUCUGUGGCUUCUUAGCUAUUCGCACUCACCAAUAUAGCAGCACCUGACACUACCCAGCCCCCAGUGUGUGAGAGUGUGUGUAUUUGCGUGUGCAUGCAUGUGAAGUUUGUGUGUUGUGAUGUCUCUGUCAGUACAGUAUGUCUUGGAGCACAGAUUCUUGCAAGUGUGUGUGUGCGUGCAGUAGUCGCACUGAGACAGGCAUCUAUUAUUAGAAAGACAGAUCACUUGAGUCAGGCACUGGCUAGACGCCUAAAUCUGGACCCCACCAG
Molecule: long non-coding RNA, 1581 nt
Organism: Sinocyclocheilus grahami
Lineage: Eukaryota; Metazoa; Chordata; Actinopteri; Cypriniformes; Cyprinidae
Source: Ensembl